RNAcentral lists this ribosomal RNA (503 nucleotides) under uncultured bacterium. RNAcentral's name for it is "bacterial SSU rRNA". It matches the Rfam family "Bacterial small subunit ribosomal RNA", at positions 889 to 1390 of the family's 1533-position model. The record is from RNAcentral.
CAAGGUUAAAACUCAAAGGAAUUGACGGGGACCCGCACAAGCGGUGGAUGAUGUGGAUUAAUUCGAUGCAACGCGAAAAACCUUACCUACCCUUGACAUGCCAGGAACUUGCCAGAGAUGGCUUGGUGCCCCGAAAGGGAGCCUGGACACAGGUGCUGCAUGGCUGUCGUCAGCUCGUGUCGUGAGAUGUUGGGUUAAGUCCCGCAACGAGCGCAACCCUUGUCGUUAAUUGCCAUCAUUUGGUUGGGCACUUUAACGAGACUGCCGGUGACAAACCGGAGGAAGGUGGGGAUGACGUCAAGUCCUCAUGGCCCUUAUGGGUAGGGCUUCACACGUCAUACAAUGGUCGGUACAGAGGGUUGCCAAGCCGUGAGGCGGAGCCAAUCCCAGAAAGCCGAUCGUAGUCCGGAUUGCAGGCUGCAACUCGCCUGCAUGAAGUCGGAAUCGCUAGUAAUCGCGGAUCAGCAUGUCGCGGUGAAUACGUUCCCGGGUCUUGUACACAC